Molecule: ribosomal RNA, 383 nt
Filed under: uncultured eukaryote
Lineage: Eukaryota
Description: partial 18S ribosomal RNA
Rfam family: Eukaryotic small subunit ribosomal RNA
Source: RNAcentral
CAAUAGCGUAUAUUAAAGUUGUUGCAGUUAAAAAGCUCGUAGUUGGAUUUCUGGUGGGAGCGAUCGGUCUGGCGCUUAGCGCGAGUACUUGCAUCGUCUCCGGCCAUCCUUGGGGAGAGUCUGUCUGGCAUUAAGUUGUCGGGCAGAGGAUCCUCAUCGUUUACUGUGAAACAAUUAGAGUGUUCAAAGCAGGCUUAUGCCGUUGAAUAUAUUAGCAUGGAAUAAUAAGAUAGGACUUUGGUACUAUUUUGUUGGUUUGCGCACCGAAGUAAUGAUUAAUAGGGACAGUUGGGGGUAUUCGUAUUCCGUUGUCAGAGGUGAAAUUCUUGGAUUUACGGAAGACGAACUACUGCGAAAGCAUUUACCAAGGAUGUUUUCAUUAA